RNAcentral lists this ribosomal RNA (467 nucleotides) under uncultured bacterium. RNAcentral describes it as "partial 16S ribosomal RNA". It matches the Rfam family "Bacterial small subunit ribosomal RNA", at positions 28 to 507 of the family's 1533-position model. The record is from RNAcentral.
GACGAACGCUGGCGGCGUGCUUAACACAUGCAAGUCGAACGGAAAGGCCCUGCUUUUGUGGGGUGCUCGAGUGGCGAACGGGUGAGUAACACGUGAGUAACCUGCCCUUGACUUUGGGAUAACUUCAGGAAACUGGGGCUAAUACCGGAUAGGAGCUCCUGCUGCAUGGUGGGGGUUGGAAAGUUUCGGCGGUUGGGGAUGGACUCGCGGCUUAUCAGCUUGUUGGUGGGGUAGUGGCUUACCAAGGCUUUGACGGGUAGCCGGCCUGAGAGGGUGACGGCCACAUUGGGACUGAGAUACGGCCCAGACUCCUACGGGAGGCAGCAGUGGGGAAUAUUGCACAAUGGGCGGAAGCCUGAUGCAGCAACGCCGCGUGCGGGAUGACGGCCUUCGGGUUGUAAACCGCUUUCGCCUGUGACGAAGCGUGAGUGACGGUAAUGGGUAAAGAAGCACCGGCUAACUACGUG